Girardinichthys multiradiatus is the source of this 1833-nucleotide long non-coding RNA. RefSeq lists it as uncharacterized. The transcript has 2 exons. The record is from RefSeq and is a predicted model, not a curated record. NCBI's taxonomy places the organism in Eukaryota, Metazoa, Chordata, Actinopteri, Cyprinodontiformes, Goodeidae.
ACAUACAAGUUGAAGGUUUAGAUGAAGUUAAUAUUUCUGAUAACUCAGGAAGCUCCACAGGAUCAAACCAGUCCAAACACAGAUCAGGUUCUACAGUUACUUCCAAUGUUGUCUCGCUGACUGAGGAUGUUCGAGAGUAUGCCAAUGAUUUUAUUUUUAUUAGAAUCAAUUUUAUUUAUAAAGAAUCCCAUAAGUCAUUACUGCUGAGAGCUAAUGGAAUAGAUGACUCAACAGAGCUAUGACUCUGUGUAAGUUUAGCAACUGUACUAAAGAGAAACCUAGGAUUAUUCUUGUUCUCUUCUAGUAAUGAUGAAAAAUAUGCCUGUCUAGUGUAGCAAAGGUACUUUUUAUACAACAGUAGGCUAUUUUUCCAGAUUAAGUAGGACUCAUCUAGAUGUGUAGAGCACCAUGUUCUCUCCAGUUUCCUAGCGUUGUGCAUUCAAGUACGCAGCUUUUAAUUAAACCAGGGAGCCUUUCUCUUAUGAAUAAUUAUCUUUUGUUUAUGGUUUGUUUAAGGAUUCCACAACAAGUUUGAAAAAUACAAACGUUUUGGGUGAAUUUGGUUAACAUAUUAAUUAAUGACAAUUAAUUAAUUAUAAUAACUGAUAAAAGCUGGUAGCCCAAUAAUCACAAUCUAUAGUAUAAUUCUAAUAUCUAAUAUCUAAAUGACAUAUUAUGAUUAAGUAUAAUUGUAAUAAAUAUUCAUAAAUCAAAUAAUCAUAAUUGCACAACAGAAUGCUUUAGGUUUCUUAACAAGAUGCUGGAAACAUCUAUCAACAGUCACAUAUAGCUGGUGACAUGCAGCAUCUACUUUAGAAAUUCUAGCUUUAAAUGUUUCAUUAUCCUUCAGUUGCAGUCAGUUCAGAAUCAGAAUCUGCCUGAUUAGUAACUCAUAGCUCUCUCUAACAGGCAGAACAUUUACAGCAGUGCCAUGGCAGGAGGUGUGGCCACACCGCCCAUGCUUAUAGUUUUUCAUGACAAAUACACAACGCUGGAUCCUCUGUGGCAUGUCCGACACCUGGGCUGGAGCCCAGAUGCCCACUAUUCAGAGAGCUUCCUCCAGGAGGCACACUUGUUGCAUUGGAAUGGUCGAUUCAAACCAUGGAAUUACCAGGCCGUCCACUCGCAUCUGUGGGAAAAGUGGUUCAUACCUGACCCGUCUGGAAGAUUCACUUUGACACGGCCUAAUAGUGAUAAAUAAGGCCAACCAGCUUUUUUAAUUUCUCCUUCAUUUUUGUGGUGUAAGUUUUUCUUGAGUGUGUUCAAAUGUGAACUUAAGAUGUGGAAACAAGAAGUCCAUACUUGAAAACUUGGAUAACAAACUCUGAAUCAUUGUUCUUACACUGACAAGUAAAUUGUGAAUAGUGAAUACCCUAUAAUAAUUGAAUAAUUAGUUCAACUUUACAAUUUAGGAAAGCAAUAUACAAACAGAUAUUUAAUAAUGGAUUCAAAAAUCCACUUUAAAACUCCUUUAAUUUUUUUUUGCUACUUUUUUGUACUAUAACGAGGUGCUGGUGUUGGGGUUGCCAAGUGAUGCCUCUCCUCUAAGAUGUCCAAAAAGGGUUUUAAUCAUUUUUUUUUUUUUGCCUGUAAAGUUUUAAGUAUCAUUUAUGAACACAUUUAAAGUGCUGUAUAAAAGUAUUUCUUCUGGAUUUUCUUUGUAACUAAAAAAUGUUAGUUUUUUUUUAUCAUCAAAUUGUCAUGAAUCACUGUUUUUUGCAUGAAUCUGUUUUUUGUUUUUUGCUCCCUCCUUAUUUGUUCAUCUGUUGUCAUCCCUGAGUGUUACGACCCCACUCGGUCUAGGGGUAAGAGGAAGUAAACAUUUGAACCAGG